CGGAAAAGUAGAAGACACGCAUUUAUUUAAUUUAUGCAUCCCGUAAACAACGAUAAACCAUAUUGUUAAGGCAAAACGAUUCGUAGCGAAGUUCGGUUGCACGUGUUUUGAAAUACUACGGUAUGUUUACGAUUUUCGUCGACGUUUGGAAUAAAAAUUCUCAUGUAAAAAAAAAACCACUAUACAUUACACUCUACAUUUAAAAUUGAUGACGAAA
Molecule: non-coding RNA, 217 nt
Organism: Cinara cedri
Lineage: Eukaryota; Metazoa; Arthropoda; Insecta; Hemiptera; Aphididae
Source: the annotation of a GenBank genome assembly